RNAcentral lists this unclassified non-coding RNA (202 nucleotides) under soil metagenome. RNAcentral describes it as "partial contains 5.8S ribosomal RNA, internal transcribed spacer 2, and large subunit ribosomal RNA". The record is from RNAcentral.
AACAAGGCGUACCUGCGGACCUGCGGAAGGAUCAUUACUGAGUGAGGGCCUUCGGGCUCGACCUCCAACCCUUUGUGAACACAACUUGUUGCUUCGGGGGCGACCCUGCCGUUUCGACGGCGAGCGCCCCCGGAGGCCUUCAAACACUGCAUCUUUGCGUCGGAGUUUAAGUAAAUUAAACAAAACUUUCAACAACGGAUCU